ACAACCAUGCCACAUUGAAACCCAUUUCCCAUAUGAUCACCGAAGUUAAGCAAUGUCUUGCCUGGUCAGUACCUAGAUAGGUGACCACUUGGGAAUACCAGGUGCU
Acanthosepion pharaonis is the source of this 106-nucleotide non-coding RNA. NCBI's taxonomy places the organism in Eukaryota, Metazoa, Mollusca, Cephalopoda, Sepiida, Sepiidae. The record is from the annotation of a GenBank genome assembly.